RNAcentral lists this ribosomal RNA (486 nucleotides) under uncultured bacterium. RNAcentral describes it as "partial 16S ribosomal RNA". It matches the Rfam family "Bacterial small subunit ribosomal RNA", at positions 30 to 507 of the family's 1533-position model. The record is from RNAcentral.
AUUGAACGCUGGCGGCAUGCCUUACACAUGCAAGUCGAACGGCAGCACGGGUGCUUGCACCUGGUGGCGAGUGGCGAACGGGUGAGUAAUACAUCGGAACAUGUCCUGUAGUGGGGGAUAGCCCGGCGAAAGCCGGAUUAAUACCGCAUACGAUCCACGGAUGAAAGCGGGGGACCUUCGGGCCUCGCGCUAUAGGGUUGGCCGAUGGCGGAUUAGCUAGUUGGUGGGGUAAAGGCCUACCAAGGCGACGAUCAGUAGCUGGUCUGAGAGGACGACCAGCCACACUGGGACUGAGACACGGCCCAGACUCCUACGGGAGGCAGCAGUGGGGAAUUUUGGACAAUGGGCGAAAGCCUGAUCCAGCAAUGCCGCGUGUGUGAAGAAGGCCUUCGGGUUGUAAAGCACUUUUGUCCGGAAAGAAAUCCUUGACUCUAAUACAGUCGGGGGAUGACGGCACCGGAAGAAUAAGCACCGGCUAACUACGUG